UAUGUAUUCCCCUAGUAACUGCGAGUGAAGCGGGAAAAGCUCAAAUUUAAAAUCUGGCGGUCUUCGGCCGUCCGAGUUGUAAUCUGGAGAAGCGUUUUCCGCGCUGGACCGUGUACAAGUCUCUUGGAACAGAGCGUCAUAGAGGGUGAGAAUCCCGUCUUUGACACGGACCACCAGUGCUAUGUGAUGCGCUCUCGAUGAGUCGAGUUGUUUGGGAAUGCAGCUCAAAAUGGGUGGUAAAUUCCAUCUAAAGCUAAAUAUUGGCGAGAGACCGAUAGCGAACAAGUACCGUGAGGGAAAGAUGAAAAGCACUUUGGAAAGAGAGUUAAACAGUACGUGAAAUUGCUGAAAGGGAAACGAUUGAAGUCAGUCGCGUGUGCUAGAACUCAGCCUUGCUUUUGCUUGGUGCAUUUUCUAGUGUACGGGCCAGCAUCAGUUUUGGCCGCCGGAAAAAGGCCUUGGGAAUGUGGCACCUUCGGGUGUGUUAUAGCCCUUGGUUGUAUACGGUGGCUGGGACUGAGGAACAUAGCAUGCCUUUACGGCGGGGCUUCGGCCACCUUCAUGCUUUGGAUGCUGGCGUAAGGCUUUAACGACCCACCUGUACCACGGCCC
Molecule: ribosomal RNA, 612 nt
Filed under: Bjerkandera adusta
Lineage: Eukaryota; Fungi; Basidiomycota; Agaricomycetes; Polyporales; Phanerochaetaceae
Description: LSU rRNA
Rfam family: Eukaryotic large subunit ribosomal RNA
Source: RNAcentral